Molecule: long non-coding RNA, 860 nt
Organism: Cannabis sativa
Lineage: Eukaryota; Viridiplantae; Streptophyta; Magnoliopsida; Rosales; Cannabaceae
Exons: 2
Source: RefSeq, a predicted model, not a curated record
UCCAAAUAUUAUCAUGUGAAUGUAAUUUAUUUAUAUUGUUGUUAGGUUAUAUAUAUCUUCUAAGGGGUAUAUAUGUAAUUUAAUGAUAAAAAGCCUAAAAUAUUGUGACUUUUAUUUAAGUUAUAGAUAUAUAUAUAAUAAUAUUAUAAAAUUAAUAAACAAUAUUCUGUUAAAGUUAACGUAGAAACCUAAAAACAUCGUUAAACCAAUAAUUCUAUUACAUAGCCACACUUUAUAUAGAAUAGAUAUAUAAAAUUUUGAUUUGAUUGAUGUUGUCACUUUGUGACAAGUUUUUUUUUUAUUUAUUUUUACUUAAAAUUAAUGAUGAUAAAGAUGAGACCCAUUACGUGUUCUCAUUUCAUUUUUUCAUCAUAUUUCUUAUUCUUUCUCUCUCAUCAUCAUCUUCUUCUUUUUCAUAGGUUUCUUUUUUUGUUGUUUCAAAAUUCAUACACUUAUUAUCUUUUUUCUCACUCUUCUCUCUCUCUCUCUCUCUCUCUCUCUCUCUCUCUCUCUCUCUCUCUCUACAUUAACAUAUAAUUUAUUUUAUUUUAUUUCUUGUUCAGUUCUUCUUCUUCAUCUUCUUCUUCAUUUUUUUUUUAGUUUUUCUAAUUUUCAGUCACCCUUUUAGGGAAAAAUAAGAGUGUGAUUUUUAUAUUCUGAUUUUUCAGAACUGUUCUUGCAAAUAUAGUCGUUGUUGCAUUUGGUGUUGAGGCUGUGCAGAAGAUGGUGUUCUCGUAUUGCUGCGGUAGUUAUAUCUGUGGGUGUGGAAGAUAGAGGCUUGGUAUGUGAUUUUUGGCAUCUACAGUAUAAAAGAAAAAAAAAAAUACAAAGACUGUAUAAAUAUAAUUUUUGCCGUGUAA